RNAcentral lists this ribosomal RNA (253 nucleotides) under uncultured bacterium. Its description in RNAcentral is "partial 16S ribosomal RNA". It matches the Rfam family "Bacterial small subunit ribosomal RNA", at positions 524 to 776 of the family's 1533-position model. The record is from RNAcentral.
UACGUAGGGGGCAAGCGUUGUCCGGAAUCAUUGGGCGUAAAGAGCGUGUAGGCGGUCCGGUAAGUCAGCUGUGAAAGUCAAGGGCUCAACCCUUGAAUGCCGGUUGAUACUGUCGGGCUAGAGUCCGGAAGAGGCGAGUGGAAUUCCCGGUGUAGCGGUGAAAUGCGCAGAUAUCAGGAGGAACACCAAUGGCGAAGGCAGCUCGCUGGGACGGUACUGACGCUGAGACGCGAAAGCGUGGGGAGCAAACAGG